UCAGGAUUUUCCAUAAUGCCUUUUAAUUAUUCUUAAAAAGUAUUUUUAACUACUUCAUCCUAUUUAGGAACUCCUUCAUAGAUGAAUGCUUGGCGUUAUUCAUUACCCAGUCUUGAGGGACUCACUGGUGAGCUCGGGGCUCAGGGAGUAGACCUGACUGGGGAGCUAAGUGAUCUCGUGUGACUCUCUAUGCCUCGUUGCCACCAGCGUGGGCCAUCUCCAGGGGCUCUCAAACCGAUAGAAGACCUUGGGGUGUGGGAAAACAGCUCCAGAGCUUCUAAACUGAGCGGAUUGUUCCUAGUGAGAAAGAUUUAAUUCCAGAACAUAACUGGGGUGCUUUAUUGCAACACUUACAGUGUGCUGCAAUCCUUGUUCCACUCAGCAUGCAGCUCUCAGCCGAGCAGCACUGGCAGCACCGGUGAGCUUGUCAAAGAGGCACAUUCACGGGCCCUAACACCAACUACUCUGUUGGGAUGGAGUCCAGGAAACAGCUUUGAGAAAUCUUUCAGGUGAUUCCUUAAAGUAUAAGAAUCGUGGUUACAACAGUUAUAUACAUGGAUUCUAGGGCUAUAAUGCGUGGGUUUGCAUUGUAGCUAUCCCACUGCAGGCUGCGUGCCCUUGGGAAAAUUACUUAACCUCUCUGAGACACAGGCUCCUCAUCUGUAAAAUGAGAUUUCAUAAUAAUUCUUCCCUCACGGAGUUGUGAGAAUUAUCUGGUCAAUGCAUG
RNAcentral lists this long non-coding RNA (727 nucleotides) under Pan paniscus (pygmy chimpanzee). Its description in RNAcentral is "lncRNA (ENSPPAG00000044829.1)". The record is from RNAcentral. Lineage: Eukaryota; Metazoa; Chordata; Mammalia; Primates; Hominidae.